UCAUAGUGUAUCUAUUUGCAAUGCCCACAAGAAAACAAGAAGUGUAGUUGAGAGGGGUAUUGGUCAGCUGAAACGACGCUUCCACAUUUUGCAUGGGGAAAUCAGACUUGACCCCAAGAAAACAUGCAAAAUCAUUGCAGUCUGUGCUGUUCUGCACAACAUUUGCAAAGAUAGAAAUAUGCUGUUGCCAGAAGAUCUUCCUCCUCUCCCUGAGGAUUAUCAUGGUGAGGUCAAUGAGGAGGCCCUGGAGCGACCUCAAGAUGGUAUUCGCUACAGGGAUGACUUUGCUGCACUUCACUUUGGGGCACGACACUAAGGUCCCACCAGUCAGGCAAGUGCUGUGGUAGCUGUCGCAAGGUGGCCAACAGAGAUCUACUCCGUCCCAUGGGAAAAUGCUGCCCCUGUGAGGGACACCGCAUUCCAGAGAUGGAUCUACAGCUUUUCUUGCAAACACCUGAGACUUUCCAAGGUCCUCCUCACCAAGUCUGUCAUCAUCAAUGUGGGAGCAGGGGCGUACCUUCUGUGUAUCCAUGGCAGGGGCGGAAGCUGGGAGUUCAACAACCACCAAGCUGCUCUAGCAUAGUCGUGCCAACAUGGAGCUUUGUUCAACCACAUCCGCAUACAAACUAAGGAGGCGGUGGCUGAGUGGUUAGCGUGCCGUCCCUACAUUCGGCACGUUGUCCAUGGUGUGGGUUCGAAUCCGC
This is a long non-coding RNA of Eriocheir sinensis (Chinese mitten crab), 704 nucleotides long. RefSeq lists it as uncharacterized. Lineage: Eukaryota; Metazoa; Arthropoda; Malacostraca; Decapoda; Varunidae. The record is from RefSeq and is a predicted model, not a curated record. The transcript has 4 exons.